AACGAACGCUGGCGGCAUGCUUAACACAUGCAAGUUGAACGAGAAAGCUCUUCGGAGUGAUUAGAGUGGCGCACGGGUGAGUAACGAAUAGGAACAUACCUUUAGGUGGGGAAUAACCACGGGAAACUGUGGCUAAUACCGCAUAUCAACUUCGGUUGAAAGGGGGCCUCUACUUGUAAGCUCUCGCCUAGAGAUUGGCCUAUUUCCCAUUAGCUUGUUGGUGGGGUAAAAGCCUACCAAGGCUGCGAUGGGUAGCUGGUCUGAGAGGAUGAUCAGCCACACUGGAACUGAGACACGGUCCAG
This 303-nucleotide ribosomal RNA is filed under the name uncultured bacterium. RNAcentral describes it as "bacterial SSU rRNA". It matches the Rfam family "Bacterial small subunit ribosomal RNA", at positions 29 to 334 of the family's 1533-position model. The record is from RNAcentral.